Sebastes umbrosus (honeycomb rockfish) is the source of this 166-nucleotide long non-coding RNA. RefSeq lists it as uncharacterized. The transcript has 3 exons. The record is from RefSeq and is a predicted model, not a curated record. NCBI's taxonomy places the organism in Eukaryota, Metazoa, Chordata, Actinopteri, Perciformes, Sebastidae.
UAACUUUGUGUUUUAUAAAAGUUGUGUGGCUCUGGCUAUAUCUGUUUGCCGUGGAGAGGAAGUCGUGUUGCUCUGGCUCUAUCUGUUUUGGCGUGGAGAGGAGGUCAUGUUGCUCUGGCUCUAUCUUUUUGGUGUGGAGAGGAGGUUGUGUUUCUCUGGCUCCAUC